RNAcentral lists this ribosomal RNA (404 nucleotides) under uncultured Blautia sp. Its description in RNAcentral is "bacterial SSU rRNA". It matches the Rfam family "Bacterial small subunit ribosomal RNA", at positions 355 to 776 of the family's 1533-position model. Lineage: Bacteria; Bacillati; Bacillota; Clostridia; Lachnospirales; Lachnospiraceae. The record is from RNAcentral.
UGGGGAAUAUUGCACAAUGGGGGAAACCCUGAUGCAGCGACGCCGCGUGAAGGAAGAAGUAUCUCGGUAUGUAAACUUCUAUCAGCAGGGAAGAGAUUGACGGUACCUGACUAAGAAGCCCCGGCUAACUACGUGCCAGCAGCCGCGGUAAUACGUAGGGGGCAAGCGUUAUCCGGAUUUACUGGGUGUAAAGGGAGCGUAGACGGACUUGCAAGUCUGAUGUGAAAGGCAGGGGCUCAACCCCUGGACUGCAUUGGAAACUGCAGAUCUUGAGUGCCGGAGAGGUAAGCGGAAUUCCUAGUGUAGCGGUGAAAUGCGUAGAUAUUAGGAGGAACACCAGUGGCGAAGGCGGCUUACUGGACGGUAACUGACGUUGAGGCUCGAAAGCGUGGGGAGCAAACAGG